AUAAAUCCCUUAUUCAAAGUCUCCCAUAUUACUUCCUCUCAAAAGGGUAGAAUAUCUUUUCAUGUUGAACUUCUUAUUUCUCCAGUUCAUUCAUUCAGAUGGUAAAAUUCAUGAAUUGAACUAUUUUUCUCAUCAGGUUUUGUUCUGGUCAACCUUGAAGGGAAGACUUAUCAACAAACAAGCUCUGGCAGAAAUUAUUCUAAGAGCUAGAUUUCUCCCCUAUUAAUUAUAUGAGUGUCAAAAGCUUACUCGAGGAAAGAAUAAUUUCCACAGCAAGAGGUAGAGAUAUUCUAUAACAGUUGCUUAUAGUAAUUGCCUCAAUUCAUUUGCAACUUAGCUCCUGCUCUUUUGUCUAGCUGCAUGUAAAAAGGCACAGCAAAGAGCGCUGUGUCUGAGAUGUGACAUAAUAUGUAUUUGAAUCCUUGCUCUUUGUACUAGCUCUGUUACCUGGAUCUUGCAAAACCGUAGAAGAGUUCCAUUAUUAUCAAGCACUGGUCAUCUUUCAGUAUCCCUCUUCCUAACAUGCAUUAGUUCUAGUGGCUAAUUCAUGUUUGGGAAAGUCACCUAAGUAUCCUCUUUGUUUUUGCCUCAGUUUGUUUUUGGCAAAAGUUACCUAAUAUUAAUUUCCUGUUUGUUCCUGUAAGAGUGUGUGUCUUGGAUGCUGGAGGCUGGAAAAGCUUUGCAGAUCCUCUGCCCUAAGUGUAGAGAUGCAUGUUCCCUCACCUAUGUAGAAUAAAGAAAACUAUAGCAAUUUCUUUUUGUUUCCUCUGUCCCAGCGCACAGAGAUAUUUGGUUUUAGUUAUGUGGAUGAUGACUUCAUUCAGAACAACUCACAUUCCCCGCUGAUUUUCCACCAUUUCUGUAUCAGUAGCCCCUGUCCAAGGUUUUCUUCUUAUAAUGUUACCAGUGGUGGAUCUUGACCCUCAAUAAAUAGAAGUAAAACAAGAGUAAACCAAGAGUCUGAAAUGGGCUUGAACAAGGCAGUUUAUUGGGGCUUUCAGCUUAAGCAGAAAGGGAGACAACAACAGGAAGGAACCUGCUGCUGGCUUCCCCAAAUCAGGUGGCUAAGCAUCUCCCCUACAACUGCCCCCACCCUGCCACUCCUGCCAAACUGCCUCUCUGAAGGCCAACUUGUGAAAUUCUCUAUUCUUGCAUGAAGAUAAGGAGGUAUGUAUCUAAAUACAGCUGUACCUGUCAGUGGCAGUUUUCAGAGACUUUGAAGGCUGAAGAUGAAAAUAAGAUGAGACUAUUGUUCUCUGCUUGACCGCUACUCCCCUAUGACAAAGUUUGGAAAAUGCCUUCAGACAGACAGAAUAUAGGGUAGAUGUUGAGCUUAUAUCACGUACAGAAUUUCCCUUCUUUCUGUUGUCCAAUGACUACAAAUAGCUACUUCAUAAAAUUUAUCCAUCAGUAUAGUAGUUUUAUGGUUGGAGUAUAUGUAGGCUAUCCGUAACUGUGUCUUCACCAGAAAUGGAAAUCCGUUUUAGUUGUAUUUACUUCCCAUUAAAUUUUGUGGAACCUAUUCACCAUGUCCAAAGUAAUAGCCUUCCUGAGGAAGUCUCCCUAUAUUUAUAGAAGCAGAAGAAAUAGAUUACUUGGCCAACAUAGAUACAUUUUCUUAGACACAAUCCUCAUCCUAAUGACCUACUGACCACCAUCAGAAGAGGUGAGCAUAGUGACCACUUCUUGCAACCAUCAGUGGUGGUGCUGAAAGUUUUGA
This 1720-nucleotide long non-coding RNA is filed under the name Homo sapiens (human). RNAcentral describes it as "HSALNT0232007". The record is from RNAcentral. Lineage: Eukaryota; Metazoa; Chordata; Mammalia; Primates; Hominidae.